CCCUUAGAUGUUCUGGGCCGCACACGCGCUACACUGAAGGAGGCAGCGUGUACUCCUGGAUCGAAAGAUUUGGGUAACCCGCGAAUCUCCUUCGUGCUAGGGAUUGAGGUUUGCAAUUAUCCUUCAUGAACGAGGAAUUCCCAGUAAGUGCAAGUCAUAGGCUUGCGCUGACUACGUCCCUGCCCUUUGUACACACCGCCCGUCGCUACUACCGAUUGAAUGAUUUAGUGAGGACUUCGGACUGGGACCGAUGCGGCUUUCGGGCUGCGUCGGUAUUCUGGAAAGAUGUCCAAACUGUAUCAUUUAGAGGAAGUAAAAGUCGUAACA
RNAcentral lists this ribosomal RNA (327 nucleotides) under uncultured eukaryote. RNAcentral's name for it is "partial 18S ribosomal RNA". It matches the Rfam family "Eukaryotic small subunit ribosomal RNA", at positions 1470 to 1796 of the family's 1831-position model. The record is from RNAcentral.